UUUAUUUGGAAGCAAUUAGAAGGUUGAAGGGUUUUUUCGGGGAAAAAAAAGACAAAAUUGAGGGUUUUUUAGGGAAAAAUGAAAAAUACAAGGACUUUUUCAGGAAAAAGAAAAUAAAGUUGAGGUUUAAUCCGGAAAAAACACAAAAUAUAUAAGGUCUUUUAUGAGAUUAACCCUGAUUAAAAUAUAAUUUUGAGAUUAUAAUUUUCUUUUGAGAUUUUACAAUGAUUUCUUUUGUUUUAUUGUUUAAUUUUGUAUAUAAGUUUUUUUCAAGUGGUAAAUAAACUUUUUUGGCUAUUUGAAAUACAUAUAAUACAUAAUUUCAAAUGACAUAAAAUACGUUUAUAUACACAAUUUGUUUAACAAUAUGUUUUCUUUCAUUAAACUUUAAUUUUACAAAAUAACAAUUUUUUGUUUACUUUGUAAUCAUCCAUUCCAUUCCUUUGUAGUUAUUUUCCAUCAUGAGGUAUCAUAUUU
RNAcentral lists this long non-coding RNA (477 nucleotides) under Lactuca sativa (garden lettuce). RNAcentral describes it as "long non-coding RNA (LSAT_LNC004559)". Lineage: Eukaryota; Viridiplantae; Streptophyta; Magnoliopsida; Asterales; Asteraceae. The record is from RNAcentral.